AUCCCGCCGGUGAUCGGGUUCAUCACCACCUCCCUGUUGGACUUGCCCGGGCCAAUUUGCCCGGGCUUUUUU
RNAcentral lists this non-coding RNA (72 nucleotides) under Loktanella sp. S4079. Its description in RNAcentral is "Singlet oxygen resistance RNA X". It matches the Rfam family "Singlet oxygen resistance RNA X". From Rfam's summary of the family: SorX (RSs2461)like SorY is a singlet oxygen induced sRNA that counteracts oxidative stress by targeting mRNA for a transporter in Rhodobacter. The record is from Rfam by way of RNAcentral. Lineage: Bacteria; Pseudomonadati; Pseudomonadota; Alphaproteobacteria; Rhodobacterales; Roseobacteraceae.